GCAGCAAUCGUCCAGAGGAAGGGCACCGGCCUUCCAAGCCGGGAACGCGGGUUCGAGUCCCGUUUGCUGCUCCA
This 74-nucleotide transfer RNA is filed under the name Clostridia bacterium. RNAcentral's name for it is "tRNA-Gly". It matches the Rfam family "tRNA". From Rfam's summary of the family: Transfer RNA (tRNA) molecules are approximately 80 nucleotides in length. Their secondary structure includes four short double-helical elements and three loops (D, anti-codon, and T loops). Further hydrogen bonds mediate the characteristic L-shaped molecular structure. tRNAs have two regions of fundamental functional importance: the anti-codon, which is responsible for specific mRNA codon recognition, and the 3' end, to which the tRNAs corresponding amino acid is attached (by aminoacyl-tRNA synthetases). tRNAs cope with the degeneracy of the genetic code in two manners: having more than one tRNA (with a specific anti-codon) for a particular amino acid; and 'wobble' base-pairing, i.e. permitting non-standard base-pairing at the 3rd anti-codon position. Lineage: Bacteria; Bacillati; Bacillota; Clostridia. The record is from RNAcentral.